AGCCGUGCUGUGUGCACAAAGCGAACUAUUCUUUCGCCUUUUACUAAAGAAUACCGUGUGCACGCAGCAGAUAGCGGCAUACGCCUAUUUUUGGAGGAUUACCCCUAAAAGGGUAGC
Molecule: small nuclear RNA, 117 nt
Filed under: Jatropha curcas
Lineage: Eukaryota; Viridiplantae; Streptophyta; Magnoliopsida; Malpighiales; Euphorbiaceae
Description: U5 spliceosomal RNA
Rfam family: U5 spliceosomal RNA
About the family: U5 RNA is a component of both types of known spliceosome. The precise function of this molecule is unknown, though it is known that the 5' loop is required for splice site selection and p220 binding, and that both the 3' stem-loop and the Sm site are important for Sm protein binding and cap methylation.
Source: Rfam by way of RNAcentral